This is a long non-coding RNA of Oncorhynchus keta (chum salmon), 943 nucleotides long. RefSeq lists it as uncharacterized. The transcript is spliced from 6 exons. Lineage: Eukaryota; Metazoa; Chordata; Actinopteri; Salmoniformes; Salmonidae. The record is from RefSeq and is a predicted model, not a curated record.
UGGACUUUUGGAUUCUUACCAUCAAGACUGCGAUACCAAAUGCAAUCCCCAGCGCGAUGACUGCAUUCUUCUCCAUGAAGGAAGUCACAAACUUGACACAAGGCUGCAGAGGACAAAGCAAACAGUCAACACUAGUGAACACCAGGUCAAGGUAACUGUACAAAGACACUAGUGAACACCAGGUCAAGGUAACUGUACGAAGACACUAGUGAACACCAGGUCAAGGUAACUGUACGAAGACACUAGUGAACACCAGGUCAAGGUAACUGUACGAAGACACUAGUGAACACCAGGUCAAGGUAACUGUACGAAGACACUAGUGAACACCAGGUCAAGGUAACUGUACGAAGACACUAGUGAACACCAGGUCAAGGUAACUGUACGAAGACACUAGUGAACACCAGGUCAAGGUAACUGUACGAAGACACUAGUGAACACCAGGUCAAGGUAACUGUACGAAGACACAGUCAACACCAGGUCAAGGUAACUGUACGAAGACACUAGUCAACACCAGGUCAAGGUAACUGUACAAAGACACUAGUGAACACCAGGUCAAGGUAACUGUACGAAGACGCAGUCAACACCAGGUCAAGGUAAUUGUACGAAGACGCUGCUUUGUGGUUCGUGGGUGUAUCAUCCUGGAACCCUCUAUGGUUUCAUGUGGCUGUAGAUCAGUUCCCUGGACAGGUUCUGUUUAUAGGAGUGUAGUGGAAUGUAGAGUAGUGGUAGUGUAGUGGAAUGGUAAUGUAUGGUAGUGUAGUGUAAUGGAAUGUAGAGUAGUGGUAGUGGUAAUGUAUGGCAGUGUAAUGGUAAUGGUAACGUAGUGCAGCGGUAAUGUAACGUGUGUUUAUUGAUGUUUCCUUUAUACCAAGUAAAGCCACCUUCCUUGAGUUUUCUAAAUAGUAUUUGAUUAAUAAUAUGUGAUUGUCUGCUUACCGUUGAG